UACGGAGGAUGCAAGCGUUAUCUGGAUUUAUUGGGUUUAAAGGGUGCGCAGGUUGUUUGAUAAGUCAGUGGUGAAAGUCUGUCGCUUAACGGUAGGAUUGCCAUUGAUACUGUUGGACUUGAAUAUGGAUGAGGUAGGCGGAAUGUGUAGUGUAGCGGUGAAAUGCAUAGAUGUUACUCAGAACACCGAUUGCGAAGGCAGCUUACUAAUCCAUCAUUGACGCUGAGGCACGAAAGCGUGGGGAUCAAA
This 249-nucleotide ribosomal RNA is filed under the name uncultured prokaryote. RNAcentral's name for it is "partial 16S ribosomal RNA". It matches the Rfam family "Bacterial small subunit ribosomal RNA", at positions 524 to 772 of the family's 1533-position model. The record is from RNAcentral.